This 77-nucleotide transfer RNA is filed under the name Rickettsiales bacterium. Its description in RNAcentral is "tRNA-Ile". It matches the Rfam family "tRNA". From Rfam's summary of the family: Transfer RNA (tRNA) molecules are approximately 80 nucleotides in length. Their secondary structure includes four short double-helical elements and three loops (D, anti-codon, and T loops). Further hydrogen bonds mediate the characteristic L-shaped molecular structure. tRNAs have two regions of fundamental functional importance: the anti-codon, which is responsible for specific mRNA codon recognition, and the 3' end, to which the tRNAs corresponding amino acid is attached (by aminoacyl-tRNA synthetases). tRNAs cope with the degeneracy of the genetic code in two manners: having more than one tRNA (with a specific anti-codon) for a particular amino acid; and 'wobble' base-pairing, i.e. permitting non-standard base-pairing at the 3rd anti-codon position. The record is from RNAcentral. Lineage: Bacteria; Pseudomonadati; Pseudomonadota; Alphaproteobacteria; Rickettsiales.
GGGUUUGUAGCUCAGGUGGUUAGAGCGCUGUACUGAUAAUGCAGAGGUCGAUGGUCCGAGUCCAUCCAAACCCACCA